GUUGAAACACUGGUUCCUAUACGAUCACUGAAGUUAAGCAACGUCGAACUUGGUCAGUACUUGGUUAUGGGUGGCUGCUUGGGAAUAUCAGGUAUC
Molecule: non-coding RNA, 96 nt
Organism: Acanthosepion pharaonis
Lineage: Eukaryota; Metazoa; Mollusca; Cephalopoda; Sepiida; Sepiidae
Source: the annotation of a GenBank genome assembly